This 393-nucleotide ribosomal RNA is filed under the name uncultured bacterium. RNAcentral describes it as "partial 16S ribosomal RNA". It matches the Rfam family "Bacterial small subunit ribosomal RNA", at positions 523 to 918 of the family's 1533-position model. The record is from RNAcentral.
AUACGGAGGAUCCGAGCGUUAUCCGGAUUUAUUGGGUUUAAAGGGAGCGUAGGCGGACGCUUAAGUCAGUUGUGAAAGUUUGCGGCUCAACCGUAAAAUUGCAGUUGAUACUGGGUGUCUUGAGUACAGUAGAGGCAGGCGGAAUUCGUGGUGUAGCGGGGAAAUGCUUAGAUAUCACGAAGAACUCCGAUUGCGAAGGCAGCUUGCUGGACUGUAACUGACGCUGAUGCUCGAAAGUGUGGUUAUCAAACAGGAUUAGAUACCCUGGUAGUCCACACAGUAAACGAUGAAUACUCGCUGUUUGCGAUAUACAGUAAGCGGCCAAGCGAAAGCGUUAAGUAUUCCACCUGGGGAGUACGCCGGCAACGGUGAAACUCAAAUGAAUUGGCGGGG